AGAAUCAACGCUGGCGGCGUGCCUAACACAUGCAAGUCGAACGAGAAAGGGGAGCAAUCCCUGAGUAAAGUGGCGCACGGGUGAGUAACACGUGACUAACCUACCCUGGAGUGGGGGGAUAACUGAGGGAAACCUUAGCUAAUACCGCAUAAUACCUACGGGUCAAAGGAGCAAUUCGCUUCAGGAGGGGGUCGCGGCCGAUUAGUUAGUUGGCGGGGUAAUGGCCCACCAAGACGAUGAUCGGUAUCCGGCCUGAGAGGGCGCACGGACACACUGGAACUGAAACACGGUCCAGACUCCUACGGGAGGCAGCAGUGGGGAAUUUUGCGCAAUGGGGGAAACCCUGACGCAGCAACGCCGCGUGGAGGAUGAAGUACUUCGGUACGUAAACUCCUUUCGAUCGGGACGAUAAUGACGGUACCGGAAGAAGAAGCCCCGGCUAACUUCGCGUCAGCAGCCGC
RNAcentral lists this ribosomal RNA (461 nucleotides) under uncultured bacterium. Its description in RNAcentral is "SSU rRNA". It matches the Rfam family "Bacterial small subunit ribosomal RNA", at positions 26 to 518 of the family's 1533-position model. The record is from RNAcentral.